This is a long non-coding RNA of Suricata suricatta (meerkat), 648 nucleotides long. RefSeq lists it as uncharacterized. The transcript is spliced from 2 exons. NCBI's taxonomy places the organism in Eukaryota, Metazoa, Chordata, Mammalia, Carnivora, Herpestidae. The record is from RefSeq and is a predicted model, not a curated record.
UCAGAUAGUGACCCUUUUUCUAAAGGGGAGCUGUGCAUGCUGGGACCUGUGGUCUCCGAGGGCUAUGUGCAGUGAACGUUAUUUCAACGCUUUGCAGGGCCACGGUUUCCUGCCUGGUUACCAAAGUGCUCUACCAGUCCCGACACGUUCCGGCCCGCUCCUUCCUCUCCGGAUCCUUAAUUUGAUAUCCUCCCGGCUGCGCCUCGCCCCUCCCGACACGCCCCCAGCCUGUAUGUCUCAACAUUCCGUGCGGCUCGCCUCUCCAGUUCUUUGUGCUAGCCGUUCCCUCCGCUCGGAAUGCUUUUGUUCCCUCGUCUAACAACUCUCUUUAAGUCAGCUCAAAAGCAUCUCCUUGAAAUCGGCUUUGGCCACACCAGACCGAUGUAAAUUGUCCCUCCUGUUUGCGUCUUGUCCAUCUCUCUUCUUUAUUUUCGCUCUAUAGCCUACUUUUUGGUUUAAGAACUUCCUUGUGUGAACUCAAACACUUGAGAAAAGUAGUUUCCUUUUUCGGUGCUAUCUUUUGUUACAUGCUUAUGAUAUCUUUUUUUGAUAUCCUCAUGGCCUGGCAGAGAUUGUAUUCUCAAAAAACAUUUGAUGAAUGGAUGAACAACUGUAUGGAAGCCAAAUAAAAGGAAUUCUUUACUGGCA